AACGAACGCUGGCGGCAGGCCUAACACAUGCAAGUCGAACGCCCUAGCAAUAGAGAGUGGCAGACGGGUGAGUAACGCGUGGGAACCUUCCCUGUGGUGCGGAAUAACUCGCCGAAAGGCGUGCUAAUACCGCAUAAGCCCGCAAGGGGAAAGAUUUAUCGCCAUAGGAUGGGCCCGCGUAGGAUUAGCUAGUUGGUGAGGUAAUGGCUCACCAAGGCGACGAUCCUAGCUGGUUUGAGAGAAUGACCAGCCACACUGGGACUGAGACACGGCCCAGACUCCUACGGGAGGCAGCAGUGGGGAAUCUUGGACAAUGGGCGCAAGCCUGAUUCAGCCAUGCCGCGUGAGUGACGAAGGCCUUCGGUUG
RNAcentral lists this ribosomal RNA (367 nucleotides) under uncultured bacterium. Its description in RNAcentral is "bacterial SSU rRNA". It matches the Rfam family "Bacterial small subunit ribosomal RNA", at positions 29 to 425 of the family's 1533-position model. The record is from RNAcentral.